CGGAACGUAGCGCAGUCUGGUAGCGCACCACGCUGGGGGUGUGGGGGUCGCAGGUUCAAGUCCUGUCGUUCCGACCA
Molecule: transfer RNA, 77 nt
Filed under: Alphaproteobacteria bacterium
Lineage: Bacteria; Pseudomonadati; Pseudomonadota; Alphaproteobacteria
Description: tRNA-Pro
Rfam family: tRNA
About the family: Transfer RNA (tRNA) molecules are approximately 80 nucleotides in length. Their secondary structure includes four short double-helical elements and three loops (D, anti-codon, and T loops).
Source: RNAcentral